CAAGUAUUCCCUCCGUUCGAAAUUACUUGUCGCAGAAAUGGAUGUAUCUAGAUAUAUUUUAGUUCUAAAUACAUUCAUUUUCGAGAAAAGUAAUUCCGAACAGAGGGAGUACUAU
Non-coding RNA from Triticum aestivum (bread wheat), 115 nucleotides. The record is from Rfam. NCBI's taxonomy places the organism in Eukaryota, Viridiplantae, Streptophyta, Magnoliopsida, Poales, Poaceae.